UACGGGGGGGGCAAGCGUUGUUCGGAAUUACUGGGCGUAAAGGGCUCGUAGGCGGCCAACUAAGUCGGACGUGAAAUCCCUCGGCUUAACCGGGGAACUGCGUCCGAUACUGGAUGGCUUGAGUUCGGGAGAGGGAUGCGGAAUUCCAGGUGUAGCGGUGAAAUGCGUAGAUAUCUGGAGGAACACCGGUGGCGAAGGCGGCAUCCUGGACCGGCAUUGACGCUGAAGCGCGAAAGCUAGGGGAGCAAACGGG
RNAcentral lists this ribosomal RNA (253 nucleotides) under uncultured bacterium. RNAcentral's name for it is "partial 16S ribosomal RNA". It matches the Rfam family "Bacterial small subunit ribosomal RNA", at positions 524 to 776 of the family's 1533-position model. The record is from RNAcentral.